UAGAGAUGAUAGCUUAAAUGGUUUGUAGGUUUUUGAUAGCUUACGAAACACUUGUUAAUGUGUAUUGAAGUAACUACACUUAUUGAUCACUCUUAUAACUUUUGUAGUUAAUCACACUGUAAACGAUUGUGCAAGAGACCUGACAGGUUCAAAAAAAAAAAAACCAAGUUUUAAAAAUAUAUAUAGUUUGGUUAAGAAGUUACUUUAACGAAAUGGUGUUGUUUGCUUGGAUUGUUGUUCCAUUUAGACUUCUAUAGUUUGGUUUAGAAGUUACUUUAACGAAAUGGUGUUGUCUGCUUGGAUUGUUGUUCCAUUUAGACUUCUAUAGGUUUUGUAGUUGUAGUAGAGCUGAUAGCUUUCGUAGUAAAAUUUAAUGAUCCAUUAAUCUAGAGCUGAUAGCUUUCGUAGUUGUAGUAUAGUAAUAACUCCUGAUUAGACAUAGGUAGAUAAUGGUUAGUUGGUUUU
Molecule: long non-coding RNA, 465 nt
Filed under: Brassica napus (rape)
Lineage: Eukaryota; Viridiplantae; Streptophyta; Magnoliopsida; Brassicales; Brassicaceae
Description: long non-coding RNA (BNAP_LNC008210)
Source: RNAcentral